GCAAACUUGGUCAUUUAGAGGAAGUAAAAGUCGUAACAAGGUUUCCGUAGGUGAACCUGCGGAAGGAUCAUUACCAAAAAACAAUGUCCGGCCCUCCUUCCCUUCUCGGAGGGGGGGAGGGCUCGGGCGAGACUCGUGGCCGUCCUCCGGGGCGGUCCGGAUCUCUAUACCCUUUGUGAAAAACCCAAGUUGCUUCGGCAGCUCGUCCCGGCUCCCCUUCCACGGGGAACGGGGCGGUCAGCCUGCCGACAGCCCCCCAAGGAAACCCUUUUUGUGAAAGUUAGCAUUUACAUCGUCUGAUCGAAACUGUCGAAUGACUAUAAAACUUUCAACAACGGAUCUCUUGGUUCCCGCAUCAAUGAAGAACGCAGC
This 372-nucleotide unclassified non-coding RNA is filed under the name uncultured fungus. Its description in RNAcentral is "partial contains small subunit ribosomal RNA, internal transcribed spacer 1, and 5.8S ribosomal RNA". The stretch from base 1 to 73 matches the Rfam family "Eukaryotic small subunit ribosomal RNA", at positions 1759 to 1831 of the family's 1831-position model. The record is from RNAcentral. Lineage: Eukaryota; Fungi.